GGACUUACCUGGCAGGGGAGAUACCAUGAUCAUGAAGGUGGUUUCCCCAGGGCUUAUCCAUUGCACUCCGGGUAUGCUGACCCCUGCGAUUUCCCCAAAUGUGGGAAGCUCGACUGCCUAAUUUGUGGUAGUGGGGGACUGUGUUCGCACUCUCCCCUG
Molecule: non-coding RNA, 159 nt
Organism: Myotis brandtii (Brandt's bat)
Lineage: Eukaryota; Metazoa; Chordata; Mammalia; Chiroptera; Vespertilionidae
Source: Rfam